ACACAGGGUAUUGUGGUAGAAACAUAUUUUAACAAUGGCUUAGAUUUUACUCUCAACAUGUGUAAAAUUUAAGAAACUGAGGGUGGUCAUGAUAAAAAACCUUUAAAUAUGUUUAACAAAAAGCUUAUUUUCAAACAAGGGUAAUGAUUAAAGAUUAAAGAACCUACAUGGGCUGUAUACUGGACAUGUGAAUCGGUCACUUAUCACAGGUAAAACACACGUGUCGUACAGAAAUUGUAUAUAAUUAUUUCAGCAUCCUAUUUCCUAAGAAAUGUGUUUCGGGGUGAUUUGCAAAUGUCUCAUUAAGAUAUUUGAGGUUAACCAGUUAUGGAUUUAAACUUGAUUCAAGGUAUGAAGAUUUCCAUAUCUUUAAUUUCAAGGUAUGAAGAUUUCCAUAUCUUUAAUUUCAAUGCAUGGAGAUUUCUUUUUCUUCAAGUUGAGCUUCUUUUUUUAGCAGCCUCAAUAUUAUGAUCUUAAAAAAGAAGUUGAAUGGUUUAACAAGAUUCCAGGGUAUUUUUGAAGGUAUGCAUGGAAUGUACCUGCAGUGAAGUUCAAGGAAAUCCUUUUUUUUUCUUUAUGUGUACAUGCAGAAUGUAUCCUCAUUGUGUCUGGUAUAUGGGAGAACUUGUUGAUUUAUAAUAUUAUGUAUGUACUAGAUGUCUUUGGAAUAUGGAUCAUCAUUAUCAUGUUGCUUUUAAUGUCACAUUCGGAACAUUAAAAUCAUUUGUUGCAUGAUUUUUGUGUGCUUUUUUUUUUAUUUCAAAAAAGUUGCAUCAAUCCAUUGGCAUUUAAGAAAUAAGCUUGAAUAUUUCAUAAUGCUUAUUAACUAACCUUUGGCAUCAUUUGUGGAAACAUACCUCUUGACUGUGGCAUCCAAGUUGUGAGGGGACCUACCAUACAUCUUUUACAUGGGUUCCGACAUUACUUGAUGAGAUCUGCAUAUAAUUGACUCGGAUCUAUAGAUAUCCUUAUAUAGAGGCAUUUUUACCAUUAUAUUGACCCAGGCAUAUAGUGUUACCCUUGGACAUUGUGCCAUGUCAUAAUUUCAUUACUAUUCAACAGAUAAAAAAUACAAUAUAUAGAACUGUAAUUUGGUAAUAACAUGAAGUUCAAUUUAGGAUUUGGUUAUGAUUUAACUUUAAGAAUUUUAAUUAAAAUUUUCACAUAACAUAAUAAAAAAAGCAAGAUCUUUGAUUGUAGGUUACUCCUGGGGACUUAAGAAAGUGUAAUACACAAAAUUAUAGAAUCUCUUAGUCAAGAGGAUGUCAUUAAUAGCAAUAUCUGGGGUGACUUUUCAAACGAAAUUUGAACAAAGCCAGUUGCUAAUUUACUUAGCCUUGGUAAGUCAACACAUCCAUCUUGGUAACCUACUGACAUUGUGUUUGAUCCUACACAUCUAAAAAUGAAGUAUGGCACCAUUGAAGAUUAAUUAAAUUAACUAUAUAUUUACAAUGCAACAAGUUUAUCAAAAAUUCAUCAUCAUACAUUGCUGUAGAGUAGAAGAGAAUUCUAUGGCAAAAGACCGCUGCUCAACAGAAUCGGCGAAGUUACUAGGACUUGACAUGUCCCUGUGACUAGACCAUCAGAUGGAUAUUGCCUGAAUAUGAAAUAUCUGCUGGCGCACUUUCCCGGAGGAACAGGCUAUCAUACUUCUGUGAAAAAUGUUUAAUGUAAAAUGUAGAUGUUUUCAGUCGCAGGCACGUGUCUGAUUUUCGGCUUGAUGGAAAGGGCAAAUUGAACAACCCAAUUUCCUUGAAGAAUUUCAACCAAGCCUGAAGUAUUUCACAUGCCUUGAUAUCUGACGUGCAGUACACCAACUGUAUUAUUCUUUUUCGUCCACGAAGAAUGUUCUUGUACAACCCGAUUUAGGAUGUGCUAUGGCUAGUCUAAGCUAUUCUGAAUAGUGUGCAACCAGGUUAGGAAUCCACUUCUUAUAUGCGACUGUUUUACAACGUUAAAAACAUUAAAUUAGAGUUGGUGCUAGCGACAAAGAUAUUUUUAUGUGGUCUCAAAUAAUCAUCUGGCGUUGUUUGUAGCAGUGUCGUGGCGAGGGGAGAAUGGACAUAGAACAUGGCUGACACUGCAAUGCAAUCACGUGCACUGUGUUUUAAUCGAAAUGCUUACGCAAUAAAAAAAUCAAUGUUGACCAUUACGUUGACAGAUACGAGAAGCAAGUAUCUCUUAAGAUAGAACGUCAUCCAUGAAUCGUGUAUACGGAAGUAUGAACGCAGUUGGCUACGCACGAACUAUUGAGGUAUUGUCACGUACUGCUAUCACUUGUACAACAAAAUCAUUUAGUUGCACUUCCUCUUUUCAUCAGCGUUAAAAUCAGUUUGAUAUAACUUGAUAUCCUCCCUUCUUAGUCUUGUUCGAUUGAAGCCACCUGACAUUUAAGAAACAAUUAUCGAAACGCGAGACGUUUAUUGUUUCGAAUACAAAUACAUAUUGUAUGAAAAUAUAUAUCGAGCAUAAUUAACUACUGGGCCGUUUUCGUUUCUGCGGUCCAAACGGUUGGACUAGUUGGACCGGUGUUGUUCGGACGGACAUGGUGAUUUUAUAUUGUUUUCAGACGUGUCUAGACAAAGACAUCCAAGGCAUGUAUUCACAUUUGCAGGUCUGUCAAGAUAUAUGUUUGAAAUAUUACAUUUAAAAACUGUCGAACCGGUUUGUCCGCAUAAACGAACAGGCCCCAUGGCUUCGGAAUAUAAAACAUCAUGUUUUUGUCUUAAUGAUUGUGUCUGAGAAGUAAUGGUAUGUUAUGAAUGAUGUUUUCUCGACCAAUUUGAACCGACUUGUUUCAUUUUAAAUAAUAAAAAUUAAUUCCGUG
This is a long non-coding RNA of Pecten maximus, 2827 nucleotides long. RefSeq lists it as uncharacterized. The transcript has 2 exons. The record is from RefSeq and is a predicted model, not a curated record. NCBI's taxonomy places the organism in Eukaryota, Metazoa, Mollusca, Bivalvia, Pectinida, Pectinidae.